CACCACUCACUUGCCAACCAUAGCUCAAUGUUUUGUGAAAUCAAGAAAUAAGGGUAGGGUUACCCUUACCCUACAAAGAAAACACACACAAAUAUUUAUCUCGAACUUCACAUCUUUUGUACAUUUGUCACAUGAGGAAAGACAUUUAUAAUGAUACUAUGUCCCAUAGGCUUUGUCAGCUCUCAUUAAAUUAUAAUUCAUGGAAUUUUAUCCUCCUUUUACUGCAAAUUCCUAAGCUGUCAUAAUACAUUAUCCAAAUAAUAAAUAAGCAAAAAGCAUAUGUGUGAAACAAAAAUAACAAGUUAUAGCAAUUCUUGAAGAAUAUUUGGCUAAAAUUGCAUUUCAGCCCCACCUCCUUAUGAGUUUCAACAUCUUUUUUUUUAAUUUUAUAUGCUUGAUCCCCUGUUGUUUUCAAAAUGUUAUAACUUCUCAUUACAUAUUUUUCAAUUUUUUCUAUGUAUAUAUUGCGUCUAUAUGAAUAAAAUCUCAUAUUAAAAGUGGAAAAGAAAAAAAAUUAUUUAUAAGGAGUUGAAUAUUCUUAAGGGUGUGGGGCCUUUAAAAUCGUACAGGCUUGGUUCAAAAUGGAUAAUAUUACACAAUGUUAACAGUAUCAUUGAAUCAUUUUAGGCCAACAAUUGGUAUCAGAGUCAACGGCUUGGCGGGACUGUGGAAAUGGCGGAGUAUGAUGUGGUGGCCCGAUGUAAUACCUUUGUCCAUCUACGAGCUUUAUGACCUUUACCCGUAGCUUUGAAGACGCAUACACUGACUUUGAGCUCCGAUGAAAUACUUAAGCUCACGUGGGUGAUAUACAAUUAAUCUCCAAUGUUGAUGCAGUUGAAGACUGGAUCUACGAAGAAUCUAGGAGCUAAGCUUGAAAAAUAGAAGAAGCUAAGCCAGAGUAGUGCCGAGAAAAUAGGUUAGAGAAUUUAGAAGAGAAAGAGAAUUAUUAUUCUGAAU
RNAcentral lists this long non-coding RNA (957 nucleotides) under Nicotiana benthamiana. RNAcentral's name for it is "long non-coding RNA (NBEN_LNC037354)". The record is from RNAcentral. Lineage: Eukaryota; Viridiplantae; Streptophyta; Magnoliopsida; Solanales; Solanaceae.